Molecule: ribosomal RNA, 225 nt
Filed under: uncultured bacterium
Lineage: Bacteria
Description: partial 16S ribosomal RNA
Rfam family: Bacterial small subunit ribosomal RNA
Source: RNAcentral
UACGGGGGGAGCAAGCGUUGUUCGGAUUUACUGGGCGUAAAGGGCGCGUAGGCGGUCGUGACAAGUCACUUGUGAAAUCUCCGGGCUUAACUCGGAACGGUCAAGUGAUACUGUCGGACUAGAGUACAGAAGGGGCAACUGGAAUUCUCGGUGUAGCGGUGAAAUGCGUAGAUAUCGAGAGGAACACCUGCGGCGAAGGCGGGUUGCUGGGCUGACACUGACGCU